GUUUAUAUAAUUUAUAAAGAAUAUUGCAUUGAAGCUGCAAAAGAAGUUGUUAAACUUAUGAACA
RNAcentral lists this transfer RNA (64 nucleotides) under Calappa bilineata. RNAcentral describes it as "tRNA-Phe". Lineage: Eukaryota; Metazoa; Arthropoda; Malacostraca; Decapoda; Calappidae. The record is from RNAcentral.